Molecule: ribosomal RNA, 446 nt
Filed under: uncultured bacterium
Lineage: Bacteria
Description: bacterial SSU rRNA
Rfam family: Bacterial small subunit ribosomal RNA
Source: RNAcentral
UCCAGACUCCUACGGGAGGCAGCAGUGGGGAAUAUUGCACAAUGGGGGAAACCCUGAUGCAGCGACGCCGCGUGAGUGAAGAAGUAUUUCGGUAUGUAAAGCUCUAUCAGCAGGGAAGAAAAAAGACGGCACCUGACUAAGAAGCCCCGGCUAACUACGUGCCAGCAGCCGCGGUAAUACGUAGGGGGCAAGCGUUAUCCGGAUUUACUGGGUGUAAAGGGAGCGUAGACGGCAGCGCAAGUCUGGAGUGAAAUGCCGGGGCCCAACCCCGGAACUGCUCUGGAAACUGUGAAGCUGGAGUGCAGGAGAGGUAAGCGGAAUUCCUGGUGUAGCGGUGAAAUGCGUAGAUAUCAGGAGGAACACCGGCGGCGAAGGCGGCUUACUGGACUGUAACUGACGUUGAGGCUCGAAGGCGUGGGGAGCAAACAGGAUUAGAUACCCUGGUA